AGAACGAACGCUGGCGGCAUGCCUAACACAUGCAAGUCGAACGUGAUCCAGGCUUCGGCCUGGUGAAAGUGGCAGACGGGUGAGUAACGCGUGGGAACCUGCCCUGUGGUAGGGAAUAACCGUGGGAAACUGCGGCUAAUACCCUAUGAGUCCUUCGGGAGAAAGAUUUAUCGCCAUAGGAGGGGCCCGCGUCGGAUUAGGUAGUUGGUGGGGUAACGGCCUACCAAGCCUUCGAUCCGUAGCUGGUCUGAGAGGAUGAUCAGCCACACUGGGACUGAGAUACGGCCCAGACUCCUACGGGAGGCAGCAGUGGGGAAUAUUGGACAAUGGGGGGCAACCCUGAUCCAGCAAUGCCGCGUGGAUGAUGAAGGCCUUCGGGUUGUAAAGUCCUUUCGGCGGGGAAGAUGAUGACGGUACCGCAGAAGAAGCCCCGGCUAACUUCGCGCCAGCAGCCGC
Molecule: ribosomal RNA, 456 nt
Filed under: uncultured bacterium
Lineage: Bacteria
Description: SSU rRNA
Rfam family: Bacterial small subunit ribosomal RNA
Source: RNAcentral